Molecule: ribosomal RNA, 211 nt
Filed under: uncultured bacterium
Lineage: Bacteria
Description: partial 16S ribosomal RNA
Rfam family: Bacterial small subunit ribosomal RNA
Source: RNAcentral
UACAGAGGUCUCAAGCGUUGUUCGGAUUCAUUGGGCGUAAAGGGUGCGUAGGUGGCGUCGUAAGUCGGGUGUGAAAUUUCGGAGCUUAACUCCGAAACUGCAUUCGAUACUGCGGUGCUUGAGGACUGGAGAGGAGACUGGAAUUUACGGUGUAGCAGUGAAAUGCGUAGAGAUCGUAAGGAAGACCAGUGGCGAAGGCGGGUCUCUGGAC